AUGCAGUGUACCCGCGGCUAGACGGAAAGACCCCGUGAACCUUUACUACAGCUUGGCACUGAACAUUGACCCUACAUGUGUAGGAUAGGUGGGAGGCUUUGAAGCACGUACGCCAGUAUGUGUGGAGUCGUCCUUGAAAUACCACCCUUGUAGUGUUGAUGUUCUAACGUCGACCCCUUAUCGGGGUUGCGGACAGUGCCUGGUGGGUAGUUUGACUGGGGCGGUCUCCUCCCAAAGAGUAACGGAGGAGCACGAAGGUGGGCUAAUCACGGUUGGACAUCGUGAGGUUAGUGCAAUGGCAUAAGCCCGCUUGACUGCGAGAAUGACAAUUCGAGCAGGUGCGAAAGCAGGUCAUAGUGAUCCGGUGGUUCUGAAUGGAAGGGCCAUCGCUCAACGGAUAAAAGGUACUCCGGGGAUAACAGGCUGAUACCGCCCAAGAGUUCAUAUCGACGGCGGUGUUUGGCACCUCGAUGUCGGCUCAUCACAUCCUGGGGCUGAAGUCGGUCCCAAGGGUAUGGCUGUUCGCCAUUUAAAGUGGUACGCGAGCUGGGUUUAGAACGUCGUGAGACAGUUCGGUCCCUAUCUGCCGUGGGCGUUGGAAGAUUGAAGGGGGCUGCUCCUAGUACGAGAGGACCGGAGUGGACGAACCUCUGGUGUUCGGGUUGUGUCGCCAGACGCAUUGCCCGGUAGCUAAGUUCGGAAUCGAUAACCGCUGAAAGCAUCUAAGCGGGAAGCGAGCCCUGAGAUGAGUCUUCCCUGAUACUUUAAGUAUCCUAAAGGGUUGUCGGAGACUACGACGUUGAUAGGUCAGGUGUGUAAGUGCUGUGAGGCAUUGAGCUAACUGAUACUAAUUGCCCGUGAGGCUUAACCAUACAACACCCAAGGGGUUU
This 890-nucleotide ribosomal RNA is filed under the name Vibrio parahaemolyticus. RNAcentral describes it as "partial 23S ribosomal RNA". It matches the Rfam family "Bacterial large subunit ribosomal RNA", at positions 2059 to 2925 of the family's 2925-position model. The record is from RNAcentral. Lineage: Bacteria; Pseudomonadati; Pseudomonadota; Gammaproteobacteria; Vibrionales; Vibrionaceae.